Molecule: RNA transcript, 2123 nt
Organism: Pyrus x bretschneideri (Chinese white pear)
Lineage: Eukaryota; Viridiplantae; Streptophyta; Magnoliopsida; Rosales; Rosaceae
Gene name: 2-(3-amino-3-carboxypropyl)histidine synthase subunit 1
Exons: 4
Source: RefSeq, a predicted model, not a curated record
UCCUUUGUUCGUACGCUUACUGCCCCCUCCCUAAACCCUAACAACUCCAGCUGCGACCUCCUUCUCCCCCACCACCUCCUCCUCCUCCUCUCUCUUCCACAUUUAACUCCUUUUCUUCCGUUUGGGCUUCAUUUCAUAGAUGCCGCCUCCCUUCUCCAUAGCAGUCGGGCGUCAUUGAGCAUCUUUCAUGGUGGGUUGCAGUUGAAUACGCGUGUGGCAGCCAUUGAAGUGAUUACAUAAGAACAGAGCUAAGAAAUUCUUCUUGCGAGUUGAGACAGAGGACCGAGGUCUGUUUGCCUUCGGUUAUGCUCAUCCCUGUGAGGCACAAGCUAUAGUUCAAUUUUCCCUCCGAGUUUUAAGAUAUGGAUCCCAGCCAGGAGUCUAGUCUGUUGCCUCUCCCUGAUUCUCAGCAGACAAGGAAACCGCAUGCGCCACCAAAGCGGUUUGUGAGGAACCAAAUUCCGGACUCAAUCCUCCACGACUCAGCUCUGAACGCUGCAAUAGCCCUCCUUCCCUCCAACUACAACUUUGAAGUCCACAAGUGUGUCUGGCGUGUGCGCUCCACCAAUGCCUCACGGGUGGCCCUCCAACUCCCCGAGGGCCUCCUCAUGUACUCUCUGGUCCUCUCUGACAUCCUCUCCACCUUCGGCGGUGUCUCCCAGUGCUUUGUUCUCGGUGACGCAACCUACGGCGCGUGCUGUGUAGACGACCUUGCUGCCAAGGCACUCGAUGCUGACCUCCUCAUCCACUUUGGCCACAGUUGCCUUGUCCCACUCCACGUCACCUCAAUCCCCUGUCUCUACGUCUUCGUUGAAAUCUCAAUUGAUGUCUCCCGAUUAAUCCAGACCGUCCAUCUCAACCUCCAAAACUCUCACUGUAAAAACCUGGUGCUUGCUGGAACAAUCCAAUUUGCCUCCGCAAUUCGAGCAGCCAAACCUGAGCUUGAAACCAAUGGUUUCAAGGUCCUCAUUCCACAGUCAAAACCCUUGUCUGCCGGUGAGGUUUUGGGUUGUACUGCCCCAAAAAUCUCACGCAAAAUAACCAAAGGCAACGAGGAGGAGGAAGAGGAGAGCGUAAUGGUGUUUGUGGCAGAUGGGCGUUUUCAUUUAGAAGCGAUUAUGAUAGCAAAUCCGGGGCUGAAGACGUUUCGGUACGACCCAUAUAUGGGGAAACUGUUUUUGGAGGAAUAUGAUCACAAGGGGAUGAGGGAGUCAAGGAAGAGCGCAAUUUUGAAAGCAAAGGAAGCCUCGAAUUGGGGCGUUGUGUUGGGGACUUUAGGAAGGCAAGGCAAUCCCAGGAUUCUACAGAGACUGGAAAAGAAAAUGAAGGACGAAGGUUUUUCUUAUACCGUGUUUUUGAUGUCAGAGAUUAGUCCUCCGAGAAUUGCUCUGUUUGAAGACUCAGUCGAUGCUUGGAUUCAGAUUGCUUGUCCUCGCUUGUCCAUUGACUGGGGCGAUUCGUUUACAAAGCCCCUUUUGAAUCCUUUUGAGGCUGACAUUGCUCUUGGCUUCAUUCCUCCUUGGUGGGACAAAAAUAAGAAGAGUGAUUCUGGUUGUGCAUGUGCUAAUGGAAAUCGGGUUGGGGAAGAAGAUGUUGUUGGGGAUUAUCCCAUGGACUAUUAUGCUUUGGAUGGAGGGGAAUGGAAUUCCUCUUAUGUCAACAAGCCGUCCCGCCCUAUUCGGAGAGAUUCUGCAUCGGCUACUACUGCAAACACUGGAUAGAAAGCUUGGGAAGUUGCAGUGCCUCCUUUCAGGAAUUCGCCAAAGAUGGGCCUCAUGGUGAACGUCGAAGAUGCAUCUCCUGUUGCAUUAGAAGAUGAAACUGAAACCGUCGAGCAUUUCUAGCAGAACCUAAAAGCGAUAUGUUACGGUAGAUGGUGUCUUGCAUUUUGGCGUGGAGAAUACAGCAUUUGGCAUGCUAUUAAGUUGAUCUAAUACGACCUGGUGAUUUCAAGCUCGCUUGUUCACUUACUGAACAACCAUUUACACAUUCAAAGGUGCUUAUUUGAGUUCGAUAUGGAUUUCAAGAUCGAGUUGCGACAGGCAAUGGUGUCCGAAAAAUAUAUGUAACAUUCUCAAAUUGAAAUGAGGCAAUUAGCGAAUAAUGAUAUUUGAUCAUUUUUA